AGUGAACGCUGGCGGUAGGCCUAACACAUGCAAGUCGAACGGCAGCACAGUAAGAGCUUGCUCUUACGGGUGGCGAGUGGCGGACGGGUGAGGAAUACAUCGGAAUCUACUUUUUCGUGGGGGAUAACGUAGGGAAACUCACGCUAAUACCGCAUACGACCUACGGGUGAAAGCAGGGGAUCUUCGGACCUUGCGCGAUUGAAUGAGCCGAUGUCGGAUUAGCUAGUUGGCGGGGUAAAGGCCCACCAAGGCGACGAUCCGUAGCUGGUCUGAGAGGAUGAUCAGCCACACUGGAACUGAGACACGGUCCAGACUCCUACGGGAGGCAGCAGUGGGGAAUAUUGGACAAUGGGCGCAAGCCUGAUCCAGCCAUACCGCGUGGGUGAAGAAGGCCUUCGGGUUGUAAAGCCCUUUUGUUGGGAAAGAAAAGCAGCAGGUUAAUACCCCGCCGUUCUGACGGUACCCAAAGAAUAAGCACCGGCUAACUUCGUG
RNAcentral lists this ribosomal RNA (492 nucleotides) under uncultured bacterium. Its description in RNAcentral is "partial 16S ribosomal RNA". It matches the Rfam family "Bacterial small subunit ribosomal RNA", at positions 29 to 507 of the family's 1533-position model. The record is from RNAcentral.